CGGGGCUUCCACGUUCUUCCUCCAGUCCGCAAAAGAAGCUUCCCAAGAGUAACUCUUCCGCCCGGAGUGGGGGGCAAGGGUGUGCCCGCCCCUGCCUGGGGGAGGGGCGCUUCUCAUUCCGCUCAUCACCUUUUACUUCCCAGUCCUCCUAGUCUUCGCUCUGUGCGAGAUGGAGGGUGUGGGGGGGUGGUCUCCAUCUUCCUUGCCCUACGGCGGCCCCCUUCCCAUUCUGUGUCUCCGCCUCUAGCUCCAGUCACCUGGGCGGGCUCUCUCCUCCCUCGGCCUCGUGCCACCUCCCCCUUGCACCCGCCCGGCUCUCUUUCGGGCGAGGUGGGGCGGGGCUUUCCCGGGACUCCUCCCACCACCCCCCCCUCCGUGGUGGUGGGGAGGGGCGGAAGGCGAGGUGUGAGGUUCUGCAGAUUAGAGCCAAACGUUGGCGCGCCCGCCAACCUUCGUGGGAUCCUGUUAACGAGGUAAUGAGACUUAAUAGAGGAGGAGUCUGGUAGAAUGAGCCACUUGUUAGUUUGAAGUGAUUGAGGUAAGUUGGUUUCUUACCAAAUUAUUUAUGUUGUUUCUGUCAUGGUUAUGGACAGUAAUAGACUGCUGCUAUACAGGAUCUCACAUGUCAUACUAAUUAUUAGGUAAAUUUUAUUUGAAGCUCCAAAUUUGUGUUUUUCCCCAGUGUGUGUGUCUGUGUUUUAAAUAAAGAUUGCGUACAAGUAUCUGUUUCAGAAUCGUAACCUUAUGGGAUCUCUCCUUACCGUGAACUUUUUUUAGGCUUUGGGAUAGUUUUUAAGCUAACAGGCUAUACAGUACUGUGUAUUACAAAAAGACAGAUUUUAUGGUUUAAUUCAAAAGUUACAAAAGGUAACAAAAUAGUGGGACAGUGGUAGAGCUAGGAUAGUGAUACAGUGAAAAAUCUUUCUUCUACCUUUAUCCUUCAGAAAGUCAGUUACCUGCCCAAAAGUAAUAUUUUAUGUUUCUUAGGUAUUCUUCCAGGGACAGACAGACAGACACACACACACACAAACUGUGGUUUUAUCACUUGACAAUAUACUGAGAGUUGGUCCAUAUAGGAAAGGAAAUGCUUCUUAGUAUUCUUCUGCUUUUUAACUAGGAAAAAAUUCAAGUAUAUUAAAAAGUUGAGAGAAUAGUAAAAUGAAUACUUGUUUAUCCAUCUAGAGUCAGCAGUUGUUAUUAUUUUGCCUCGUAUAUGUGGUAUAUAUUUUGUGGAACUAUUUGAAAAUAAGUUGCAGGUGCAGCACCCCUAAAUACUUCGGCAGGCAUCCUUUGGGAUAAAGGAUUUUCUACUUUUUGUCGUCUUUGUGUGGCUUGAGAGAUCUUAGUUCCCUAACCAGGGAUUGAACCCAGGGCCCUGGUAGGUAGAGUCCUAACCAUUGAACCACCAGUAAAUUCCCUCUACAUAUCUUUUGUAGAGCUUUAUAUUAUUCCAUUUUAUGGACAGGAUUAUUGUUUAACUCUCACAACAACCAUUUCCCUUUUACAGAUAAGGAAAUUGAGGUUUGGAGAAGUUAAGUAACUUGACCAAGAUCUCACAGGUAUGUUGGCAGAGUUGGGAUUUGAAUGCUUGAACCCCUUUUCUACCAAGUACCAGUUGAAUGGCCUUGGGGACCUCUCUAAGCCCCUUUCCUCAUCUGUAAAAUGACAAUAUGGCAGUAAAAUUUCAGGGUAAUAAUCAAGUGUCUAUCUCAUACUAAUAUUUAGUGAUUGAUAACUGUUGUAUCAUUAUUAGACUGGCCAUAAAUUCUUCAUACCACUUGAAGAACUCACUUUGAAACAUGGAAUUAGUAAUGUACCUUCACUGUCUUGUCCAUAACAAGAUGGCUACACCUUUUGCAUUUUGUUAAU
RNAcentral lists this long non-coding RNA (1869 nucleotides) under Cervus hanglu yarkandensis (Yarkand deer). Its description in RNAcentral is "lncRNA (ENSCHYG00000025899.1)". Lineage: Eukaryota; Metazoa; Chordata; Mammalia; Artiodactyla; Cervidae. The record is from RNAcentral.